This 714-nucleotide ribosomal RNA is filed under the name Caballeronia sp. RNAcentral describes it as "bacterial SSU rRNA". It matches the Rfam family "Bacterial small subunit ribosomal RNA", at positions 341 to 1045 of the family's 1533-position model. The record is from RNAcentral. Lineage: Bacteria; Pseudomonadati; Pseudomonadota; Betaproteobacteria; Burkholderiales; Burkholderiaceae.
ACGGGAGGCAGCAGUGGGGAAUUUUGGACAAUGGGGGCAACCCUGAUCCAGCAAUGCCGCGUGUGUGAAGAAGGCCUUCGGGUUGUAAAGCACUUUUGUCCGGAAAGAAAACCGCCGCCCUAAUAUGGUGGUGGGAUGACGGUACCGGAAGAAUAAGCACCGGCUAACUACGUGCCAGCAGCCGCGGUAAUACGUAGGGUGCGAGCGUUAAUCGGAAUUACUGGGCGUAAAGCGUGCGCAGGCGGUCUGUUAAGACCGAUGUGAAAUCCCCGGGCUUAACCUGGGAACUGCAUUGGUGACUGGCAGGCUUUGAGUGUGGCAGAGGGGGGUAGAAUUCCACGUGUAGCAGUGAAAUGCGUAGAGAUGUGGAGGAAUACCGAUGGCGAAGGCAGCCCCCUGGGCCAACACUGACGCUCAUGCACGAAAGCGUGGGGAGCAAACAGGAUUAGAUACCCUGGUAGUCCACGCCCUAAACGAUGUCAACUAGUUGUUGGGGAUUCAUUUCCUUAGUAACGUAGCUAACGCGUGAAGUUGACCGCCUGGGGAGUACGGUCGCAAGAUUAAAACUCAAAGGAAUUGACGGGGACCCGCACAAGCGGUGGAUGAUGUGGAUUAAUUCGAUGCAACGCGAAAAACCUUACCUACCCUUGACAUGGUCGGAAGUCUGCUGAGAGGUGGACGUGCUCGAAAGAGAACCGGCGCACAGGUGCUGCA